GUGUCAUUAAAAUGAUACAGAGAUUAGCAUCAUGAUGCCUGCACAAGGAUGACACACAAAUUUGUGAAGUGUUCCAUAUAAAA
RNAcentral lists this small nuclear RNA (83 nucleotides) under Castor canadensis (American beaver). The record is from RNAcentral. Lineage: Eukaryota; Metazoa; Chordata; Mammalia; Rodentia; Castoridae.